RNAcentral lists this ribosomal RNA (155 nucleotides) under Trichobilharzia regenti. Its description in RNAcentral is "5.8S ribosomal RNA". It matches the Rfam family "5.8S ribosomal RNA". Rfam says of the family: 5.8S ribosomal RNA (5.8S rRNA) is a component of the large subunit of the eukaryotic ribosome. It is transcribed by RNA polymerase I as part of the 45S precursor that also contains 18S and 28S rRNA. The record is from Rfam by way of RNAcentral. Lineage: Eukaryota; Metazoa; Platyhelminthes; Trematoda; Strigeidida; Schistosomatidae.
AACUUUGAGCGGUAGAUCACUCGCCUCGUGCGUCGAUGAAGAGUGCAGCCAACUGUGUGAAUUAAUAUGAGCUGUGCAUACUGUUUUGAACAUCGACAUCAUGUAGUCAUAUUGUGGCUACAGGAUAUCCUGUGGCCACGUCUAUCCGAAGGUCG